AGCUAAUAAUAAAAAGCUUCUAACUUUUUUCAAGCAUAACUUAUGUUUUUAGCUU
This 55-nucleotide transfer RNA is filed under the name Scolytoplatypus skyliuae. RNAcentral's name for it is "tRNA-Ser". Lineage: Eukaryota; Metazoa; Arthropoda; Insecta; Coleoptera; Curculionidae. The record is from RNAcentral.